Long non-coding RNA from Portunus trituberculatus (swimming crab), 328 nucleotides. RefSeq lists it as uncharacterized. The transcript has 3 exons. NCBI's taxonomy places the organism in Eukaryota, Metazoa, Arthropoda, Malacostraca, Decapoda, Portunidae. The record is from RefSeq and is a predicted model, not a curated record.
GGGACGAACACGAGGAAGACGAGGAGGAGGUGGAAGAGGAAGAGGAGGAGGAGGAGGAGGAGGAGGAAUAAGAAGAGGAAGAGGAGUAAGAAGGUGCUUGUGGGAAGUGGACCAUAAACAGGUACAAGCCACUCUGGAGGAGGAGAUGAAGGAGAUGAUGGAGGAGGAGGAGAAGAGGUUUGAGAGGUGUUGGGAGGUUGUGGAGCGUGUGGAAGUUACCUCCAGCUCCGCCAAUGCUCCACCUGCCUUCUACUGGAGCGAGGUUGAUAAAGAAGAAGAAGAAGAAGAAGAAGGAAAGACAACUACGAUUCCUCUUCCCUCCUCCUCC